This 461-nucleotide long non-coding RNA is filed under the name Lepidothrix coronata (blue-crowned manakin). RNAcentral's name for it is "lncRNA (ENSLCOG00000003308.1)". The record is from RNAcentral. Lineage: Eukaryota; Metazoa; Chordata; Aves; Passeriformes; Pipridae.
UUGAAACAAAUGGAAAUGGCCAUCAGAGUAAAGUUGAAGAGGAAACAAAAGUAAAGAAACGCAAACAUAAACAUGUAGAAGCUCCAGAGGAACCUCCUAUCAAAACAAAGAAAAUGAAAACCGAAAACACCAAUGACAACAAAAAAAGUGUGGGAACUAAUAAAGGUAAAUUCAACUGGAACGGAACCAUCAAAGCUGUUCUGAGACAGGCUCCAGACAACGAAAUUUCAAUUAAAAGACUAAGAAAAAAGGUAUGGUAAAACAUUGGGAUUUUUAAUCUCCUUUUGUCUUGUGAAUUUCUUUCUGUAAUGCUGAAGUUUGUAAAAUCCUGGUUUGACGUUAUUUAGCAGAACAUCAAUUGACAGAAUGUCAACUGAAGGAUGGGUUCCUUAUUGCUUACUGAGUUACGGAAGAAAUUCAGUGCUAAUUCUGCAAAGAAAUAAUAGGAUCACAGAUUCUAU